UGGCGGAGCUCAGGAUCCUGGGAUCUGUUCCCCGGCACCCUGGGCUCUGGGGUCUGUGCCGCUGGAAUCGUGCUCCCGGGGCCACACAGCCCCUU
This 95-nucleotide microRNA precursor is filed under the name Canis lupus familiaris (dog). RNAcentral describes it as "mir-8799 microRNA precursor family". It matches the Rfam family "mir-8799 microRNA precursor family". The record is from Rfam by way of RNAcentral. Lineage: Eukaryota; Metazoa; Chordata; Mammalia; Carnivora; Canidae. RNAcentral also lists the same sequence under 1 other name.